UAAUAUCUAAGAAUAUAUAAGGAAUAUGUUUCAAUAACAUUUUUACCCUUAUGAUAAUUUUUUCAAGGAAACAUGAUAAUUUCAUUCUUUAAAUUUUUAAAGUUUACGAAAUCUUUUAAAUUUUUUAAUGUUUUGCACGCUUAUAAUUUUAAUUUUUUUUUAUAAUUUUCAAAAUAGAUUAUGAUUUUUUUAGUUUUUUUAUAUAAUUUUCUAAGUUUUCAGAUUUUUUUGGGUGUUUUUUUUCUAGAUUUAAUGGUUUUUUUAUUUUUAUAUAAUUUUAACAUUUUAAGUGUUUUUUUUCUUUUCCUUGACACGUGGUGGUGUAAUUGGUUGACUUAGAUUUUUAACAAAAAUUUGGGUUGGGGUAACUGGGAUUAAUAGAAUAAAAAUAUAAGGGUCAAAUUGAAAAAAUAAUACAGAUAUCAAAGCGAUAAUUUAGCUAUAGUAAAAGAGCCAAAAGUUGUAUUAAGCUUUUCUUAUUGUUAAUGAUUUUUUAUAUAUUUUUUUAAGAUUUUUAAGUGAUUUUUUUUCUUGACACAUGGUAACAUGUUAUUGG
RNAcentral lists this long non-coding RNA (556 nucleotides) under Gossypium raimondii (Peruvian cotton). RNAcentral's name for it is "long non-coding RNA (GRAI_LNC000657)". The record is from RNAcentral. Lineage: Eukaryota; Viridiplantae; Streptophyta; Magnoliopsida; Malvales; Malvaceae.